This 206-nucleotide long non-coding RNA is filed under the name Pan troglodytes (chimpanzee). Its description in RNAcentral is "long non-coding RNA NONPTRT015229". Lineage: Eukaryota; Metazoa; Chordata; Mammalia; Primates; Hominidae. The record is from RNAcentral.
CCAGGGUGACAGCAGUAGAGACAGGGAAGUGGAAAGAAUCAAGUUACAUAAACAUUUGCUUGAAUGAAUGAAAAUGUUUCCAUUUGUUUAGUAUUUACUAUGUGUCAGACAUGGUACCAGGUGCUUUAUAUGUAUAACCUCAAUUACCCUUAAAAUAAUCUUAAGGAAUAGCUAUGGUACCUCCAUUGUAAAAAGGAGGAGACUGA